GGCACGACACCGGAGAGGGAGCCUGAGAAACGGCUACCACAUCCAAGGAUGGCAGCAGGCGCGCAAAUUACCCAAUCCCGACACGGGGAGGUAGUGACAAUAAAUAACAAUACGGGGUUCUUUAGGAUCUCGUAAUUGGAAUGAGUACAAUUUAAAUCUCUUAACGAGGAACAAUUGGAGGGCAAGUCUGGUGCCAGCAGCCGCGGUAAUUCCAGCUCCAAUAGCGUAUAUUAAAGUUGUUGCAGUUAAAAAGCUCGUAGUUGAAUUUCGGGGUUAGUAGGUUGGUCAUGCCUCUGGUAUGUACUGGUCUCACUGAUUCCUCCUUCCUGAUGAACCUUAAUGCCAUUAAUUUGGUGUUUUGGGGAAUUUGGACUGUUACUUUGAAAAAAUUAGAGUGUUUAAAGCAAGCUAACGCUUGAAUACAUUAGCAUGGAAUAAUGAAAUAGGACGUUCGAUCCUAUUUUGUUGGUUUCUAGGAUUGACGUAAUGAUUAAUAGGGAUAGUUGGGGGCAUUAGUAUUCAAUUGUCAGAGGUGAAAUUCUUGGAUUUAUUGAAGACUAACUACUGCGAAAGCAUUUGCCAAGGAUGUUUUCAUUAAUCAAGAACGAAAGUUAGGGGAUCGAAGACGAUCAGAUACCGUCGUANUCUUAACCAUAAACUAUGCCGACUAGGAUCGGAUGAUGUUAAUUUUUAAUGACUCAUC
RNAcentral lists this ribosomal RNA (703 nucleotides) under uncultured Rhizophagus. RNAcentral describes it as "SSU rRNA". It matches the Rfam family "Eukaryotic small subunit ribosomal RNA", at positions 374 to 1081 of the family's 1831-position model. The record is from RNAcentral. Lineage: Eukaryota; Fungi; Glomeromycota; Glomeromycetes; Glomerales; Glomeraceae.